Molecule: ribosomal RNA, 497 nt
Filed under: uncultured bacterium
Lineage: Bacteria
Description: partial 16S ribosomal RNA
Rfam family: Bacterial small subunit ribosomal RNA
Source: RNAcentral
GAUGAACGCUGGCGGCGUGCCUAAUACAUGCAAGUCGAGCGAACGGACGAGAAGCUUGCUUUUCUGAUGUUGGCGGCGGACGGGUGAGUAAAACGUGGAUAACCUACCUAUAAGACUGGGAUAACUUCGGGAAACCGGAGCUAAUACCGGAUAAUAUUUUGAACCGCAUGGUUCAAAAGUGAAAGACGGUCUUGCUGUCACUUAUAGAUGGAUCCGCGCUGCAUUAGCUAGUUGGUAAGGUAACGGCUUACCAAGGCAACGAUGCAUAGCCGACCUGAGAGGGUGAUCGGCCACACUGGAACUGAGACACGGUCCAGACUCCUACGGGAGGCAGCAGUAGGGAAUCUUCCGCAAUGGGCGAAAGCCUGACGGAGCAACGCCGCGUGAGUGAUGAAGGUCUUCGGAUCGUAAAACUCUGUUAUUAGGGAAGAACAUAUGUGUAAGUAACUGUGCACAUCUUGACGGUACCUAAUCAGAAAGCCACGGCUAACUACGUG